This 328-nucleotide ribosomal RNA is filed under the name uncultured eukaryote. Its description in RNAcentral is "partial 18S ribosomal RNA". It matches the Rfam family "Eukaryotic small subunit ribosomal RNA", at positions 1470 to 1796 of the family's 1831-position model. The record is from RNAcentral.
CCCUUAGAUGUUCUGGGCCGCACGCGCGCUACACUGAUGCAUUCAACAAGCCUAGCCUUGACCGAGAGGUCCGGGUAAUCUUUGAAACUGCAUCGUGAUGGGGCUAGAUUAUUGCAAUUAUUAAUCUUCAACGAGGAAUUCCUAGUAAGCGCGAGUCAUCAGCUCGCGUUGAUUACGUCCCUGCCCUUUGUACACACCGCCCGUCGCUACUACCGAUUGAAUGGUUUAGUGAGGACUCCUGAUUGGCGCCGCCGCCCCGGCAACGGAGCAGCGGACUGCCGAAAAGUUGUUCAAACUUGAUCAUUUAGAGGAAGUAAAAGUCGUAACA